RNAcentral lists this long non-coding RNA (1043 nucleotides) under Castor canadensis (American beaver). Its description in RNAcentral is "lncRNA (ENSCCNG00000019553.1)". Lineage: Eukaryota; Metazoa; Chordata; Mammalia; Rodentia; Castoridae. The record is from RNAcentral.
GCCCGCCCACCUGCCCGCUGCAGCUGAGCUGGCGCGGCCGCCGGCGGGCGCGGGGAGGGCGAAGUGCGGGCUCAGCACCUGCGCCGGCCGCAUGCUACCCCUGCCCUGCCACCCUGGCCCGCUGGGUGGCCAGGCUCGGCCCAGUCGGGACAUGUCUGCCCCGCCCGCCGCACCGACCUCAGGGGCAGGGCUGAGGGGGAUCGGGGUGCCCUGCUCCCUCCCGGCCUUGAUCUGCCCCGCCCUGCUGACAGCCCGGGCGUCGGGGGAAGUCGUGGGGGGAGCCUGGGUUCCGGCUGGAGCCCCGGCUUCCCGUCCAGCUCCCAUGGCCCCCACGGCAGGAAGCGGCCCCAGCUGGUUCAGGCCUUCCUGCCCCCUCCCCGGACGCAGGGACAGGGUCAGUGUGGGAGGGGGAGGGGCAGGUGCAGGGGAGCAGAAAAGCUCCCUUUCAGCUACCAGCUAAAUCUCAGGACUAGAUGGGUGUCUGGGACCGCGCGCACACGUGCGUGUGUAUGUGUGUGCGUGUGUGUGUGUAGUGUGCAGCUUUGUGGGGUCGCUCUGUCUCCAGCCCAACAGCCUGGUGCCUGCUCGCCUUUGGCAUGGAUGGCAUUGUCAUUUGGGAUGUGUGUCCCCAGCACGUGUUCAGCUCCGUGUUUGUGGCUAUGCCGCAUGUCUGUGGAGUGCGUCUGCCGGCUCAUGUUUCUGCUGGGCAAGCUGGGGUACUUUCUGUGGGUUCCCUCGUGGCACUAUUUGGUGAGUCUGUGCACCCAUGGAUUGUAUAUCUGGGUCAUAUGCUGUAUGUCUGAUUUUCUCCUCAGCAUCUUCACAGUUCUGUGGGUGUAAAUUUUUGCAUUCUUAGUGUAAGUUUUAAUUGAAGUCUGGGUGUUGCUUUGCCUAUGUUUAUGGAUCUGUGAGAAAAAUGAGGUGUUUUGGGAGGUGGUGUGUACUUUUUCUUGCACAUGAGCUGUUUUUGGUGCACGUGUGUGAUAGUUGCCAGUGCUUGUGUCUGUGGGUGAGUUUCUAGGUUACAUUUUUUUCUUUUCUUU